AUUGAACGCUGGCGGCAUGCCUUACACAUGCAAGUCGAACGGCAGCACGGGGGCAACCCUGGUGGCGAGUGGCGAACGGGUGAGUAAUACAUCGGAACGUGUCCUAUCGUGGGGGAUAACUAGUCGAAAGACUAGCUAAUACCGCAUGAGAUUGAGAGAUGAAAGCAGGGGACCGCAAGGCCUUGCGCGAUUGGAGCGGCCGAUGUCGGAUUAGCUAGUUGGCGGGGUAAAAGCCCACCAAGGCGACGAUCCGUAGCUGGUUUGAGAGAACGACCAGCCACACUGGGACUGAGACACGGCCCAGACUCCUACGGGAGGCAGCAGUGGGGAAUUUUGGGACAAUGGGGGAAACCCUGAUCCAGCCAUGCCGCGUGUGUGAAGAAGGCC
This 387-nucleotide ribosomal RNA is filed under the name uncultured bacterium. RNAcentral describes it as "bacterial SSU rRNA". It matches the Rfam family "Bacterial small subunit ribosomal RNA", at positions 29 to 416 of the family's 1533-position model. The record is from RNAcentral.